AGUGAACGCUGGCGGUAGGCCUAACACAUGCAAGUCGAACGGCAGCACAGUAAGAGCUUGCUCUUACGGGUGGCGAGUGGCGGACGAGUGAGGAAUACAUCGGAAUCUACUUUUUCGUGGGGGAUAACGUAGGGAAACUUACGCUAAUACCGCAUACGACCUACGGGUGAAAGCAGGGGAUCUUCGGACCUUGCGCGAUUGAAUGAGCCGAUGUCGGAUUAGCUAGUUGGCGGGGUAAAGGCCCACCAAGGCGACGAUCCGUAGCUGGUCUGAGAGGAUGAUCAGCCACACUGGAACUGAGACACGGUCCAGACUCCUACGGGAGGCCGCAGUGGGGAAUAUUGGACAAUGGGCGGAAGCCUGAUCCAGCCAUACCGCGUGGGUGGAGAAGGCCUUCGGGUUGUAAAGCCCUUUUGUUGGGAAAGAAAAGCAGCAGGUUAAUACCCCGCUGUUCUGACGGUACCCAAAGAAUAAGCACCGGCUAACUUCGUG
This 492-nucleotide ribosomal RNA is filed under the name uncultured bacterium. RNAcentral describes it as "partial 16S ribosomal RNA". It matches the Rfam family "Bacterial small subunit ribosomal RNA", at positions 29 to 507 of the family's 1533-position model. The record is from RNAcentral.